RNAcentral lists this transfer-messenger RNA (396 nucleotides) under Pseudonocardia halophobica. It matches the Rfam family "transfer-messenger RNA". Rfam says of the family: Bacterial tmRNA, also known as 10Sa RNA or SsrA, is named for its dual tRNA and mRNA-like properties. Its role is to liberate the mRNA from a stalled ribosome. To accomplish this part of the tmRNA is used as a reading frame that ends in a translation stop signal. Lineage: Bacteria; Bacillati; Actinomycetota; Actinomycetes; Pseudonocardiales; Pseudonocardiaceae. The record is from RNAcentral.
GGGGGUGAACGGUCUCGACUCCUGAGGCGGACCGAGGGGAAGCGUGCCGAGGAAGACGACGAUGAGCUCGUUAACCAUGCGUCGUAACAAAAUAAGUGCCGACGAGAGUCGCACUGUCCCGGCUCAGGGCGCCCGCGCGGACUUCGCGCUCGCUGCCUGAUCCAGUAAGGGACUGUCGGCCCGGGGGUGUUCCCGCCCCGGUGCCCGGCAUCAGCUAGGGGACUUCACCGUCCGGCCCGGUCGCCGGGGUCGGACGGGACACCAAACAGCGACUGGGAUCGUCACACCGGCUCGUCCGUGAGACCGGUGGAUCCGAGUAGAGACACAGCGGACUGCGCACGGAGAAGCCCUCGCAAUGCGAAGGAGGACCCGGGUUCGAUUCCCGGCACCUCCACC